RNAcentral lists this long non-coding RNA (2154 nucleotides) under Felis catus (domestic cat). RNAcentral's name for it is "lncRNA (ENSFCAG00000041908.2)". Lineage: Eukaryota; Metazoa; Chordata; Mammalia; Carnivora; Felidae. The record is from RNAcentral.
GCCGAAUUGGUCACCGUGAAAUUCUUCAAGGCUGUGUUUUCCAGCAACCAGAGCCAAAGGGCUCAGAGUGCAGACAAAGGAAGGGAGUUUGGGAGGAGAGGGAGGAGCUAGGACUUGGCAUGCCCUUUCGGCUCCCCACCAACACUGGGAUUUGCUGGAUGUUGGGAAAGUAUGGGGUGCGAAAAACCAUGUUGGCAUCAAACAGAGCUCGAGUUCAAGUCCGAUUCUAUCCUUUUCUGCCUGUGCCACCUUCAGGUACCUACUUAACUUCUCUGAAUGUCACUUUCCUCGUUGCUAAGUGGAAGUAAUUACGCCUGUGCCUUAGGGUUAUUGUAUUAAAUGAGACACACAGACAUGCCAGAAUGCCUGGCAUAUAAUAGGCAGUCAAAGGAUAUUAUUGUUUCUUUCGUGCCCAAGUAAUGGUAGUACUGGGAGGGUCAGGUGUAGACUUCUCCCAAAUUCUCGUGAUGACAGCGAGUCAUUAGCUGUAAUUACUUCGUAAAAACCUCUGACAGAGAAAAGUGCAGUACAGUUGGACGGGUCAAGAGAAAUCCCCACUUGUCACUUUAAGCUUUUUUCCUCAAAUGUGUUACCCAGUGAAUUGUAUCUAUUCUCAUUAACUAUUCUGUGGCUCUUUCUCUAGUGGGGGAAAGCGCAUCGCUUCAGCUCACAGUGCAUUCAUAUCUCUGAACACAAGACGUAUGAGGGGCAGUAGCUAUUUCUCACCACUCCCUGGAUUUUGAGGAUAAACAAGAUAAGGGGAACAUUUCUUAGAUGUUAGUGGUCAAACGGAUAAGGCCUUUGCCUGCGGACUUCAUCAUAAAAAUCCAUUUCUUGAUGAAAGGCACUUACAAAGACCAGCCUCCUGAAAUACCACAUGACAAAUUUACAGAACUCUAUGGUUUUGCGAUUCCUUGCAUCUACUCAUCCAUGGGGAAGAAACGUGCACAUUCAAAAGCAGCUCCUGGCCACCGUGCUCCAUGCUCCAAACCCUGUGUGUGGCUUUUGUGGCAGUGCCACAUCAUGGGCCGUCAGGGAUGCAGUUAUUCUUCCUCAUGAGGGAGUGCUGAGGACCACUGACCACUGUGAACCCUUUUCCCAGCCAGCAGUCUUCGUUUUCCCUUUGUGUGAUUUUCUGUCACGAUAAAGAAAGAGUUUUCACCUUGUUGCAGAACAAUUAGCACCAUGACUUUGUUUCACAAAUUACAGAACUAAUAGAAAUUUGGGCAGUUUUUUUUUUUUUCCAUCUCUGCCUUGUUUCAUGCUGCUUUACCUAUCAUCUCUGGGGCCUCAAGGAGCCAUAUUAUGAUCCUAUAGAUCCUGGAGCCCGUCGGACUUUGUCUUCUAGCUCAAGUGUUGAAGACUCCAGUGCAGGGAAAGGAGAUGGGUGCAGGUGUAAUCAGAGAGACAGGCUGUUUCUGUAAUUUGUGAGAACUGUCAGAUAUAUAAUUAUAAAUAUAAGGUGCAAGAAGAUGAGAUUAAGAUGCUAUUUGGGGAAAAAGAAAAUCCAGUUAAGGUAUCCCCAGUUUCCAAAGGGAAUAUAUAUUGCCAGAGUAAAAUAAUGGGCAAGAAGGCAGUUUUCGUUAUGCUGUGGCCUUGGCCCCAAACACAAUGCAGAACUCCAUUGCACAGAGACAUAAUCUGCCUGCACCAAGGGCAGGCUUAGGAUCUCUUACCAGUGCAGUUUUGAGGGGAGGGAAUCACUGGGAUUCCCACCCCUGAGUCUCAGAUCUCCCUGCUUGAAUGGCAAGGGUCUGAGGCAACUCUAGCACCAGCUGCAGCCGCUGUGAGGCUCACUCUUCCCACUGUCUCAGCACUGCGAAAUGGUUCUAAAAAGAGAGAAGGCAGCCAAAUGAAACAGAGACGCCUGGGUUUUUGGCGUGUCUCUGCCUUGCCUCUCAAGAUUAUGGAAAAACAGCGUCAGAAGGCAGAAUGGAUAUUUAUGCAUACAAUCUCUAACUCUUUUGAAAGAUAGGCACCCAAGGGCAAUAGUCAGAUUCAUAGAAAAACUCCUCCCCCGUGAAGAUGAGCUGAGCACAGGGUCUGCAAAACAACGUACGUGUAGGUAAGCUCGUCACCAAUUUUACUCAUGUAACGUAGAGCAUUCCGUUUAUAAAUAAUAAAAUAUACAAUACUUUGGUUAUGAAUUCUGUA